This is a small nucleolar RNA of Hibiscus syriacus, 107 nucleotides long. The record is from RefSeq and is a predicted model, not a curated record. Lineage: Eukaryota; Viridiplantae; Streptophyta; Magnoliopsida; Malvales; Malvaceae.
ACACCAUGCAGAGGAAACUUCUGCAGUAAUUCCUUGAAUCUUUAUCAUGCUACAUACAAGCUUUCAUCCUCUAUUUUCUUGAAUGAAUUUAGAUCAUUUCGAAGUUU